GUGAUGUGAUGGUGGUGUGAUGGAGGUGUGUGAUGUGAUGGUGGUGUGUGAUGUGAUGGAGGUGUGUGAUGUGAUGGUGGUGUGAUGGAGGUGUGUGAAUGUGAUGGAGGUGUGUGAUGUGAUGGUGGUGUGUGAUGUGAUGGAGGUGUGUGAUGUGAUGGAGGUGUGUGAUGUGAUGGUGGUGUGAUGGAGGUGUGUGAUGUGAUGGAGGUGUGUGAUGUGAUGGUGGUGUGAUGGAGGUGUGUGAUGUGAUGGAGGUGUGUGAUG
Molecule: long non-coding RNA, 267 nt
Organism: Ictalurus punctatus (channel catfish)
Lineage: Eukaryota; Metazoa; Chordata; Actinopteri; Siluriformes; Ictaluridae
Source: Ensembl